RNAcentral lists this ribosomal RNA (617 nucleotides) under uncultured Chromatiales bacterium. RNAcentral's name for it is "bacterial SSU rRNA". It matches the Rfam family "Bacterial small subunit ribosomal RNA", at positions 35 to 643 of the family's 1533-position model. The record is from RNAcentral. Lineage: Bacteria; Pseudomonadati; Pseudomonadota; Gammaproteobacteria; Chromatiales.
GCUGGCGGCAUGCCUAACACAUGCAAGUCGAACGGUAACGCGGAGAGCUUGCUCUCUGGCGACGAGUGGCGGACGGGUGAGUAAUACUUAGGAAUCUGCCCAGUAGUGGGGGACAACAUUCGGAAACGGAUGCUAAUACCGCAUACGCACUACGGUGGAAAGUGGGGGACCUUCGGGCCUCACGCUAUUGGAUGAGCCUAAGUCGGAUUAGCUUGUUGGUAGGGUAAUGGCCCACCAAGGCGACGAUCCGUAGCUGGUCUGAGAGGACGAUCAGCCACACUGGGACUGAGACACGGCCCAGACUCCUACGGGAGGCAGCAGUGGGGAAUAUUGGACAAUGGGCGCAAGCCUGAUCCAGCAAUGCCGCGUGUGUGAAGAAGGCCUGCGGGUUGUAAAGCACUUUCAGUAGAGAAGAAAAGCUUAGGGUUAAUAACCCUGAGUCUUGACGUAACCUACAGAAGAAGCACCGGCUAACUCCGUGCCAGCAGCCGCGGUAAUACGGAGGGUGCGAGCGUUAAUCGGAAUUACUGGGCGUAAAGCGCGCGUAGGCGGCUUUGUAAGUCGGAUGUGAAAGCCCUGGGCUUAACCUGGGAAUUGCAUUCGAUACUGCAGAACUA